UGGGGAAUCUUGCACAAUGGGGGCAACCCUGAUGCAGCGACGCCGCGUGAGCGAUGAAGCCCUUCGGGGCGUAAAGCUCCUUCGACCGGAACGAUAAUGACGGUACCGGGAGAAGAAGCUGCGGCUAACUACGUGCCAGCAGCCGCGGUAAUACGUAGGCAGCAAGCGUUGUUCGGAUUUACUGGGCGUAAAGGGCGCGUAGGCGGCGCGGUAAGUCACUUGUGAAAUCUCUGAGCUUAACUCAGAACGGCCAAGUGAUACUGCUGUGCUAGAGUGCGGAAGAGGCAACCGGAAUUCUUGGUGUAGCGGUGAAAUGCGUAGAUAUCAAGAGGAACACCUGAGGCGAAGGCGGGUUGCUGGGCCGACACUGACGCUGAUGCGCGAAAGCCAGGGGAGCAAACG
RNAcentral lists this ribosomal RNA (402 nucleotides) under uncultured bacterium. RNAcentral's name for it is "bacterial SSU rRNA". It matches the Rfam family "Bacterial small subunit ribosomal RNA", at positions 355 to 774 of the family's 1533-position model. The record is from RNAcentral.